This 425-nucleotide ribosomal RNA is filed under the name uncultured organism. Its description in RNAcentral is "SSU rRNA". It matches the Rfam family "Bacterial small subunit ribosomal RNA", at positions 488 to 916 of the family's 1533-position model. The record is from RNAcentral.
UGGCGCGGGAUUGUGCAGCCGCCGCGGUAAUACGUAGGGUGCGAGCGUUGUCCGGAAUUACUGGGCGUAAAGAGCUCGUAGGUGGUUUGUCGCGUUGUUCGUGAAAUCUCACGGCUUAACUGUGAGCGUGCGGGCGAUACGGGCAGACUAGAGUACUGCAGGGGAGACUGGAAUUCCUGGUGUAGCGGUGGAAUGCGCAGAUAUCAGGAGGAACACCGGUGGCGAAGGCGGGUCUCUGGGCAGUWACUGACGCUGAGGAGCGAAAGCGUGGGGAGCGAACAGGAUUAGAUACCCUGGUAGUCCACGCCGUAAACGGUGGGUACUAGGUGUGGGUUUCCUUCCUUGGGAUCCGUGCCGUAGCUAACGCAUUAAGUACCCCGCCUGGGGAGUACGGCCGCAAGGCUAARACUCAAAGGAAUUGACGG